This 75-nucleotide transfer RNA is filed under the name bacterium. RNAcentral describes it as "tRNA-Asp". It matches the Rfam family "tRNA". Rfam says of the family: Transfer RNA (tRNA) molecules are approximately 80 nucleotides in length. Their secondary structure includes four short double-helical elements and three loops (D, anti-codon, and T loops). The record is from RNAcentral.
GGGCUCGUAGUGUAGCCUGGUUAACACGCCUCCUUGUCACGGAGGAAAUCGUGGGUUCAAAUCCCAUCGAGCCCG